AGGGUAGUAUCUUAAUUGAACUGCACCUGCUUAUUAUUUUACUGUAAUUAAAUAGUCUGCCUUGAUCAUGUACGACAGGGACGGAGAA
Molecule: regulatory RNA element, 88 nt
Organism: Psychrobacillus sp. FJAT-21963
Lineage: Bacteria; Bacillati; Bacillota; Bacilli; Caryophanales; Bacillaceae
Rfam family: pan motif
Source: Rfam